This 693-nucleotide long non-coding RNA is filed under the name Monodelphis domestica (gray short-tailed opossum). RNAcentral describes it as "lncRNA (ENSMODG00000034403.2)". The record is from RNAcentral. Lineage: Eukaryota; Metazoa; Chordata; Mammalia; Didelphimorphia; Didelphidae.
CAGACCUGUCCUAGAUUGGAGCUCAGACUAAUGACCUUUUUCUGAGUUUGUCACAAACAGUUGGGUCCUUGAAACCUUCUAAAUCUUUGAUUGUGAUCGAGAUAGCCUGAUUUCAAGAAAUCUCAUAACCUUAGAGGCCUCUUGACUUGCAAGAAAAGCGGUGCAGAGAUUACAGAGAGAAUGGCAAGGCGGCCCAUUUUUACAACACUGAAAUUGAUGUUUGUGAUUCAUCUGGAAAUUGAAGUCCACCUGGAAUUCAGACAUUCCAUAGUGUGCAGUGGAGAGAAAACAGCAGCUGUCUGGGCUGAACGUCUUUCUGUGAAGAGAGGAAGAGGGGACUGCUUUGACAGCUUCUUCCCAGAGCUGGAGUCAGACGCAUGGAUGUGUAAAAGGAGUCAAUGCCUUCUAAUAGUGCAACUGAGAGGAAUUCAGCAGUAAGAUAAAGUAACAACACAGCACUAGAAGCAAUAUAGCCUUUGGCUGGAAGUAAAGGCAAAAAAAAAUGACCUGGGAUAGAGAAGAGCAUUGAUGUGGGGACUGUACAAGGAAACGUGAGAUAAAUUUCUCUCCUCUAAGGGAAUUCUUGUUAUGCUUAAAUAUGGUAUAGAGACAUAUUUUCUCUUGCUAUUUAGCUGAGACUUCUUACCUGCUUUCUUUUUUUUUUUAGUUCAAAUAAACCAAUGCUUUAUCUAU